This is a long non-coding RNA of Rhinopithecus roxellana (golden snub-nosed monkey), 381 nucleotides long. RefSeq lists it as uncharacterized. Lineage: Eukaryota; Metazoa; Chordata; Mammalia; Primates; Cercopithecidae. The transcript has 3 exons. The record is from RefSeq and is a predicted model, not a curated record.
GCCUGCGCAAUCCACCACUCACCGGGUUCCGGAAAGCACUCUGAGCCUACCCUUCCCAGCGCGCAGGCGCCUGGUACGGCUUUCCGCUGCCUACGUGACCGCGGACAGGAAGCGCGGCCUCCGCCUUGAUACUAAGUCAAUGGGCCCGCCUACUUCUGCCUCGCGGCGUCUCAGGACGCAAGGUGGUUUUCAGGUUUCGUUGGAAGAAAUACACUCUCGUCCCACUGAAAGGCCCAUUCCAGUCAGCAUGGCAAAAUGAGGAAACCACUGACAGGUGAAGAAUCUGCACAACGGAAAACCACCUUGACCAUCUCAUGACUUUAUACAAGAAUCGGAGGACAGGUUUCCACUCCAUUGCCCAGGCUGGAGUGCAGUGGUGUG